UCUCUCUUUGUUACGUAUGAGAGAUUGAAGAAUUGUUGAAGUUCUUGUUGAUUUAUUCGGUAUUGUUGAAGGUCCUGUGGAUCUUCGUGUUUUAGUUGCUCUCAUUCUUGUUCGCAUACCAUCAUUUUGUAUUGAAUGUUCAUACCAUUUUUACAUGCCUCUCUCGUUCUUGUUGGAGUUCAUUCAGUCUGCUGGAGAUUUAAUGAAGAUCUAUUGAAGAUUUGGUUCAUCUUUUGCUUCAUUUGUAUUGCUGAUCCUGUGGAUCCUCAUAUAUCAGGUUGUAUUGUUUCAUUUAAAGUUGUAUUGUGUUGAUUAAUCAACUGAUUGUUAUCAGUUGAUUACAUACUUUGUAUUGGUUGAUUUCAGAUCUUACAUUUUGUAAGAUCUUGGGAGGUUGGGAGUUUU
This 405-nucleotide long non-coding RNA is filed under the name Helianthus annuus (common sunflower). Lineage: Eukaryota; Viridiplantae; Streptophyta; Magnoliopsida; Asterales; Asteraceae. The record is from RNAcentral.